Molecule: transfer RNA, 67 nt
Filed under: Caulobothrium sp. LRP 10376
Lineage: Eukaryota; Metazoa; Platyhelminthes; Cestoda; Tetraphyllidea
Description: tRNA-Asn
Source: RNAcentral
GUCUGCAUAGAUUAUUUUAGAAAUCGUGAUGCUGUUAACUUCAAAAAGGGAUUCGUCCCUGCAGUCG